This 253-nucleotide ribosomal RNA is filed under the name Nitrososphaera sp. Its description in RNAcentral is "partial 16S ribosomal RNA". It matches the Rfam family "Archaeal small subunit ribosomal RNA", at positions 474 to 727 of the family's 1478-position model. Lineage: Archaea; Thermoproteati; Nitrososphaerota; Nitrososphaeria; Nitrososphaerales; Nitrososphaeraceae. RNAcentral also lists the same sequence under 4 other names. The record is from RNAcentral.
UACCAGCACCCCGAGUGGUCGGGACGAUUAUUGGGCCUAAAGCAUCCGUAGCCGGUUUUACAAGUCCUCCGUUAAAUCCAGCUGCUUAACAGAUGGGCUGCGGAGGAUACUAUAAGACUAGGAGGCAGGAGAGGCAAGCGGUACUCAGUGGGUAGGGGUAAAAUCCGUUGAUCCAUUGAAGACCACCAGUGGCGAAGGCGGCUUGCCAGAAUGCGCUCGACGGUGAGGGAUGAAAGCUGGGGGAGCAAACCGG